AUCUUCCGCAAUGGACGCAAGUCUGACGGAGCAACGCCGCGUGAGUGAGGAAGGCCUUCGGGUCGUAAAGCUCUGUUGCCCUAGACGAACGCAUGAAGGAGUAACUGCCUUCGUGGUGACGGUAUAGGAGAAGAAAGCCCCGGCUAACUACGUGCCAGCAGCCGCGGUAAUACGUAGGGGGCAAGCGUUGUCCGGAAUUAUUGGGCGUAAAGCGCGCGCAGGCGGCCGCUUAAGUCUGGAGUAUAAGCCCGGGGCUCAACCCCGGAUCGCUCCGGAAACUGGGUGGCUUGAGUGCAGGAGAGGGAAGCGGAAUUCCACGUGUAGCGGUGAAAUGCGUAGAGAUGUGGAGGAACACCAGUGGCGAAGGCGGCUUCCUGGCCUGUAACUGACGCUGAGGCGCGAAAGCGUGGGGAGCAAACAGG
RNAcentral lists this ribosomal RNA (422 nucleotides) under uncultured bacterium. RNAcentral describes it as "bacterial SSU rRNA". It matches the Rfam family "Bacterial small subunit ribosomal RNA", at positions 361 to 776 of the family's 1533-position model. The record is from RNAcentral.